GUUCUCCUACGGGGGGCAGCAGUGAGGAAUAUUGGUCAAUGGGAGAGAUCCUGAACCAGCCAAGCCGCGUGAGGGAAGACGGCCCUAUGGGUUGUAAACCUCUUUUGUCGGAGAACAAAACCCAGGACGUGUCCCGGACUGCGUGUAUCCGAAGAAAAAGCAUCGGCUCACUCCGUGCCAGCAGCCGCGGUAAUACGGAGGAUGCGAGCGUUAUCCGGAUUUAUUGGGUUUAAAGGGUGCGUAGUCGUUCCGUUAAGUCAGCGGUAAACUUGCGGGGCUCAACCCCGUCGAGCCGUUGAAACUGG
RNAcentral lists this ribosomal RNA (305 nucleotides) under uncultured bacterium. RNAcentral's name for it is "bacterial SSU rRNA". It matches the Rfam family "Bacterial small subunit ribosomal RNA", at positions 333 to 636 of the family's 1533-position model. The record is from RNAcentral.